GAUGAACGCUGGCGGCGUGCCUAAUACAUGCAAGUCGAGCGAACAGACGAGGAGCUUGCUCCUCUGACGUUAUCGGCGGACGGGUGAGUAACACGUGGAUAACCUACCUAUAAGACUGGGAUAACUUCGGGAAACCGGAGCUAAUACCGGAUAAUAUAUUGAACCGCAUGGUUCAAUAGUGAAAGACGGUUUUGCUUUCACUUAUAGAUGGAUCCGCGCCGCAUUAGCUAGUUGGUAAGGUAACGGCUUACCAAGGCAACGAUGCGUAGCCGACCUGAGAGGGUGAUCGGCCACACUGGAACUGAGACACGGUCCAGACUCCUACGGGAGGCAGCAGUAGGGAAUCUUCCGCAAUGGGCGAAAGCUUGACGGAGCAACGCCGCGUGAGUGAUGAAGGUCUUCGGAUCGUAAAACUCUGUUAUUAGGGAAGAACAAAUGUGUAAGUAACUAUGCACGUCUUGACGGUACCUAAUCAGAAAGCCACGGCUAACUACGUG
Molecule: ribosomal RNA, 497 nt
Filed under: uncultured bacterium
Lineage: Bacteria
Description: partial 16S ribosomal RNA
Rfam family: Bacterial small subunit ribosomal RNA
Source: RNAcentral